This 375-nucleotide unclassified non-coding RNA is filed under the name uncultured Actinomycetes bacterium. RNAcentral's name for it is "uncultured actinobacterium contains 16S-23S intergenic spacer region". Lineage: Bacteria; Bacillati; Actinomycetota; Actinomycetes. The record is from RNAcentral.
UCCGGUUUGUCACCGGCAGUCUCCCAUGAGUCCUCAACUGAAUGCUGGCAACAUAGAACGAGGGUUGCGCUCGUUGCGGGACUUAACCCAACAUCUCACGACACGAGCUGACGACAACCAUGCACCACCUGUGCAGGACCCUUACGGACCCCGUAUCUCUACGAGAUUUCCCUGCAUGUCAAGCCUUGGUAAGGUUCUUCGCGUUGCGUCGAAUUAAGCCACAUGCUCCGCCGCUUGUGCGGGCCCCCGUCAAUUCCUUUGAGUUUUAGCCUUGCGGCCGUACUCCCCAGGCGGGGCGCUUAAUACGUUAGCUUCGGCACGGAGAACGUGGAAUGUCCCCCACACCUAGUGCCCACCGUUUACGGCGUGGACUAC